Molecule: long non-coding RNA, 350 nt
Organism: Oncorhynchus tshawytscha (Chinook salmon)
Lineage: Eukaryota; Metazoa; Chordata; Actinopteri; Salmoniformes; Salmonidae
Source: Ensembl
GGUACCAGUACAGAGUCAAUGUGGAGGCUAUAUACAGGGGUACCGGUACAGAGUCAAUGUGGAGGCUAUAUACAGGGGUACCGGUACUGAGUCAAUGUGGAGGCUAUAUACAGGGGGUACCGGUACAGAGUCAAUGUGGAGGCUAUAUACAGGGGGUACCGGUACUGAGUCAAUGUGGAGGCUAUAUACAGGGGGUACCGGUACAGAGUCAAUGUGGAGGCUAUAUACAGGGGGUACCGGUACAGAGUCAAUGUGGAGGCUAUAUACAGGGGGUACCGGUACUGAGUCAAUGUGGAGGCUAUAUACAGGGGGUACCGGUACUGAGUCAAUGUGGAGGCUAUAUACAGGGG